UGCCAGCAGGCCGCGGUAAUACGUAGGGUGCAAGCGUUAUCCGGAAUUAUUGGGCGUAAAGAGCUCGUAGGCGGUUUGUCGCGUCUGCUGUGAAAUCCCGAGGCUCAACUUCGGGCUUGCAGUGGGUACGGGCAGACUAGAGUGCGGUAGGGGAGAUUGGAAUUCCUGGUGUAGCGGUGGAAUGCGCAGAUAUCAGGAGGAACACCGAUGGCGAAGGCAGAUCUCUGGGCCGUAACUGACGCUGAGGAGCGAAAGGGUGGGGAGCAAACAGGCUUAGAUACCCUGGUAGUCCACCCCGUAAACGUUGGGAACUAGUUGUGGGGUCCUUUCCACGGAUUCCGUGACGCAGCUAACGCAUUAAGUUCCCCGCCUGGGGAGUACGGCCGCAAGGCUAAAACUCAAAGGAAUUGACGGGGACCCGCACAAGCGGCGGAGCAUGCGGAUUAAUUCGAUGCAACGCGAAGAACCUUACCAAGGCUUGACAUACACCAGAACACCCUGGAAACAGGGGACUCUUUGGACACUGGUGAACAGGUGGUGCAUGGUUGUCGUCAGCUCGUGUCGUGAGAUGUUGGGUUAAGUCCCGCAACGAGCGCAACCCUCGUUCUAUGUUGCCAGCACGUAAUGGUGGGAACUCAUGGGAUACUGCCGGGGUCAACUCGGAGGAAGGUGGGGAUGACGUCAAAUCAUCAUGCCCCUUAUGUCUUGGGCUUCACGCAUGCUACAAUGGCCGGUACAAUGGGCUGCGAUACCGUAAGGUGGAGCGAAUCCCAAAAAGCCGGUCCCAGUUCGGAUUGAGGUCUGCAACUCGACCUCAUGAAGUCGGAGUCGCUAGUAAUCGCAGAUCAGCAGCGCUGCGGUGAAUACGUUCCCGGGUCCUAUAUACACCGCCCGUCACCCUCAGUAAGUCUUACCAGCUAGAUUUCGAUCCUGCUCACUAAGGAGUACAAGUAGGCUAGAGUGGCC
RNAcentral lists this ribosomal RNA (966 nucleotides) under Microbacterium sp. A21. Its description in RNAcentral is "bacterial SSU rRNA". It matches the Rfam family "Bacterial small subunit ribosomal RNA", at positions 506 to 1473 of the family's 1533-position model. The record is from RNAcentral. Lineage: Bacteria; Bacillati; Actinomycetota; Actinomycetes; Micrococcales; Microbacteriaceae.